Molecule: ribosomal RNA, 246 nt
Filed under: uncultured bacterium
Lineage: Bacteria
Description: partial 16S ribosomal RNA
Rfam family: Bacterial small subunit ribosomal RNA
Source: RNAcentral
CGUCGACCGGCGCACGGGUAAGUAACGCGUAUCCAACCUGCCCACCACUUGGGGAGUAACCUUGCGAAAGUAAGACUAAUACCCAAUGAUAUCUCUAGAAGACAUCUGAAAGAGAUUAAAGAUUCAUCGGUGAUGGAUGGGGAUGCGUCUGAUUAGCUUGUUGGCGGGGUAACGGCCCCCCAAGGCAACGAUCAGUAGGGGUUCUGAGAGGAAGGUCCCCCACAUUGGAACUGAGACACGGUCCAA